Molecule: ribosomal RNA, 1142 nt
Filed under: Clostridioides difficile
Lineage: Bacteria; Bacillati; Bacillota; Clostridia; Peptostreptococcales; Peptostreptococcaceae
Description: partial 23S ribosomal RNA
Rfam family: Bacterial large subunit ribosomal RNA
Source: RNAcentral
AACCAGGAUGUUGGCUUAGAAGCAGCCACUCAUUCAAAGAGUGCGUAAUAGCUCACUGGUCGAGUGAUCCUGCGCCGAAGAUUUCCGGGGCUAAAACUUACUACCGAAGCUACGGCAUCAGUAAUGAUGGGUAGGGGAGCUUCCCAUACGGGUUGAAGCAUGACCGUAAGGACAUGUGGACAGUAUGGGAGUGAGAAUGUUGGCAUGAGUAGCGAGAUGUGGGUGAGAAUCCCACAGGCCGUAAACCCAAGGUUUCCAGGGGAAGGUUCGUCCGCCCUGGGUUAGUCGGGACCUAAGCUGAGGCCGAAAGGCGUAGGUGAUGGACAACAGGUUGAUAUUCCUGUACUACCGAUAACCGUUUGAGAGAAGGGAUGACACAGUAGGAUAAGCUAAGCACACUGUUGGUUAUGUGUGCCCAAGCAUUGAGGCAGUCAAAGUAGGCAAAUCCGCUUUGAUAAUGCUGGGAUGUGAUGGGGAGCGAAAUUUAGUAGCGAAGUAGCUGAUUUCACACUGUCAAGAAAAGUCUCUAUCGAGGUUAAAGGUACCCGUACCGCAAACCGACACAGGUGGGUGAGGAGAGUAUCCUAAGGCCAGCGAGAGAACUGUUGUUAAGGAACUCGGCAAAAUGACCCCGUAACUUAGGGAUAAGGGGUGCCACCAUCAGGUGGCCGCAGAGAAUAGGCCCAAGCGACUGUUUACCAAAAACAUAGGUUUCUGCUAAGUCGCAAGACGAUGUAUAGGAGCUGACGCCUGCCCGGUGCUGGAAGGUUAAGGGGAUCUGUUAGAGCAAUCGAAGCAGUGAACUUAAGCCCCAGUAAACGGCGGCCGUAACUAUAACGGUCCUAAGGUAGCGAAAUUCCUUGUCGGGUAAGUUCCGACCCGCACGAAAGGCGUAACGAUUUGGGCACUGUCUCAACAACAGACUCGGUGAAAUUGUAAUUCCGGUGAAGAUGCCGGAUACCUGCGACAGGACGGAAAGACCCCAUGGAGCUUUACUGUAGCUUGACAUUGGGUCUUGGUACUACAUGUACAGGAUAGGUGGGAGGCUUUGAAACCAGGACGCCAGUUUUGGCGGAGCCAUCCUUGGGAUACCACCCUUGUAGUACUGGGACUCUAACCAUAGGCCAUGAAUCUGGUCUUGG